UGGUGUAGCCAGCCAUAACGAUUAGGAUUAGUACAAAUGAUUAGGAGGAAAUAAAUUGGUACUGCUAAAAGUUCUUGGGAUGUUUGUCCUGGGAUAUAAACCAUGUGACCACGAUUCAGUACAACAGACAUAUAAAAAGUAUUGGAAGAACUAGAAAACAUUUCUCUUGUGUGACCAGGGCCUUACCCAAAGAGGCAGGCAUGCUCGGGCAGGGAGGGCGAGUGAGGGGACAGGGUGGCAAGGGGCAGGAUGGCAGAGAAGGCGAUCAGGCAGGGAGCCAUUUAUGGCGGGAGAACAAGGCACAUGGGGGGGGGCAAUUCGAGGCAUAAGACCACAAUUCAGCCCCGAGCUAAAAUAAACAAGCCUGCCAGGAGGAGUUUCAAGAGUGGUUCCCCUAAUGAUGGAAUUUGAAGCUGAACGCUUGAAGAGAAAAUUGAAAUCUCGUCCCCUCCUCACUGCACACCAUGUAAAUUCUCCACUUGCUUACAUGUAGGGAAUAGAGAAGAGAGCUGGGUCGAUGAUAUUCUAGUGGCCUGAAGCAAAGCAUCUGCAUGAACCAGCUGGAAAUGAGUCCUUCAAGAUGGGAGCUGCUUGAUUUCCAAGCCAAGAGCCUGGAGCAUAUGGAGCAGUUGUCAAGUGAGGGGUUUAGUUCCCCAAACUAGUAUCACAUGAAGAACUAAAGGCCACACCUCAGGGCAGCGGCACUUGAAUCCAGCAAGAGAUCAUCAAUACACAACAAAAGAGCAACCUGUUUGACAACGGAAAACCAAGACCAGAGAAGAGGAUGUCAUCAGUGCAGCAGGUGACACAAGGGGCCUCAUAGGAAGUCAUAUGGAAGCAGAUACUAAAGACACCAAGACAGAAAUCAAGGCAACAACAGACUGUGAAGCAGCACAAGAGGAAGAUUGCUCAGUCUGAAUUUCCACGACUGAUGGGCCAGGUUGAAACUCUUGUCCAGUGUGGAGAAGACUGCCUACGUGGGAAGAACACCUCUGACAGCAAAGUGGUUUUGACAAACAUGAAGGUAAUAAGCAAUGAAAAAAGUGAAGGACUAGGGCAAUGUCCUCCCACCACUUCGGAGUCUCCAGCAAAACCUGGACCUUCUGAAUCUAGCACCCUGUUAGAUAUUCAGGCUACACCACAAACUCCAGAAGAAACUGAACACUUUGCCACAUGCUCUGGCAUGCCCACAAUAGCACUGAAAGAUCAGGUUCCAAGAUUAGACAAAUAUGAAUCAGAAGACUCUGCCGUGGUGUUGCCAGAAGGAGCCAACUUGCCAUCUACACUCCUGGGCUCUGGAAAGAACUUUGUUCUCCACAGCAGAGAUUCUUCUUGUGACUCUGGAGUUCUGAGUGCCUCAUCCUCUCCAGCAGCUGACCAUAUAAAAAUGGGCAAAGACCCUGUAGAAGCACGUCACUACGUUUCAGAUUGCAAGGAGCCAGCGGAGCUCUGCACGGGGCACUUUGGUGCAUUACAGAUGUCCGCCCUUUCCUUAGAUGAGGACACAGAUUGUCGAGAGGCAAAACAUUCUGAACAAUCUUUUUUUGGUGGCAGCCAAGGAGAAUGUUCACAGGACAAAAUCAGUGAAGAAGAGAUCCAUCCUUCUUGCUUUUCUACUUUGCCUGUAGAAGAGAAAAGCCUCCGUGACAAUUACAGAAACAACAGCUUGGAAGAACUGCCACUGCAAGGGCAUCCUUUAAGAAAGCAUUCCACAAGUGACAGCUUAGAUGAAUACAUGGAUGCAUGUUGUAGGCUGAGUAAGGUGAAUGAGGGGAAUACCAAAACCUACAGUUCCGGCCUAGGUUAUCUAGAGCAUAUCUGCCAACUUAUUGAAAAAAUUGGGCAGCUACAAGAACAAAAUCUGAAAUUACAGAAGGAAAUCUGCAGUUUACAAAAAGAGCAGAAAACAAACCAGCUCAAAGAGGAGUAUUUUCUACAGCAUUGCUCAUGCGGUGCUGCCAGCUUUUUGCUCAGCUCUUACCAAGAAGCCAAGAAUUCUUUUCCUGGGUGGAACACCAGACCACACAGCCUAUUGGCUCAGAAUGGAAUCAUAUCUGACCUCUCAGUUAUUCCAGAAACAGGAGGAAACAAUGAAAGAUCAAGCAAAAGUAAGGUUCCUUUUUUUCUGUGCUUUAUGCUUGCUAUGAAAUAA
Pogona vitticeps (central bearded dragon) is the source of this 2152-nucleotide long non-coding RNA. Ensembl lists it as uncharacterized. The record is from Ensembl. NCBI's taxonomy places the organism in Eukaryota, Metazoa, Chordata, Lepidosauria, Squamata, Agamidae.